GUAACGCGUACGAAACCUACCUUUAAGAGAGGAAUAGCCCUGGGAAACUGGGAGUAAUGCCUCAUAGUAUCCAUUUACCGCAUGGUUUAUGGAUUAAAGCUACGGCGCUUAAAGAUGGUCGUGCGUCUGAUUAGCUAGUUGGUAGGGUAACGGCCUACCAAGGCUACGAUCAGUAGGGGGCGUGAGAGCGUGGCCCCCCACACGGGUACUGAGACACGGACCCGACUCCUACGGGGGGCAGCAGUAAGGAAUAUUGGGCAAUGGACGCAAGUCUGACCCAGCCAUCCCGCGUGCAGGACGAAUGCCCUAUGGGUUGUAAACUGCUUUUGUUUGGGAAGAAAUGUAUUCUUUUAAGAGUAUUUGACGGUACCAGACGAAUAAGCACCGGCUAACUCCGUGCCAGCAGCCGCGGUAAUACGGAGGGUGCAAGCGUUAUCCGGAAUCACUGGGUUUAAAGGGUGCGUAGGCGGCCAGAUAAGUCAGAGGUGAAAGUUUCCGGCUCAACCGGGAGAUUGCCUUUGAUACUGUUUGGCUUGAAUCAGAUUGAGGUUGGCGGAAUGUGACAUGUAGCGGUGAAAUGCAUAGAUAUGCCAUAGAACAUCGAUUGCGAAGGCAGCUGGCUGGAUCUGUAUUGACGCUGAGGCA
This 645-nucleotide ribosomal RNA is filed under the name uncultured bacterium. RNAcentral describes it as "bacterial SSU rRNA". It matches the Rfam family "Bacterial small subunit ribosomal RNA", at positions 110 to 753 of the family's 1533-position model. The record is from RNAcentral.